Molecule: ribosomal RNA, 470 nt
Filed under: uncultured bacterium
Lineage: Bacteria
Description: bacterial SSU rRNA
Rfam family: Bacterial small subunit ribosomal RNA
Source: RNAcentral
AACGAACGUUAGCGGCGCGCUUAACACAUGCAAGUCGAGCGAGAAAGGGCUUCGGCCCCGGUAAAGCGGCGCACGGGUGAGUAACACGUAGGUAAUUUGCCCUCGGGUGGUGGAUAACUUUCCGAAAGGAAGGCUAAUACAGCAUGAGACCACGGUUCCGAAAGGGAUUGAGGUCAAAGCCGGCCAAUUCAUGAAAGCUGGUGCCUGAGGAUGAGCCUGCGGCCCAUCAGCUAGUUGGUAGGGUAAUGGCCUACCAAGGCGAAGACGGGUAGCUGGUCUGAGAGGAUGAUCAGCCACACUGGAACUGAGACACGGUCCAGACUCCUACGGAGGCAGCAGUGGGGAAUCUUGCGCAAUGGACGAAAGUCUGACGCAGCGACGCCGCAUGAGUGAUGAAGGCCUGGUUGUAAGACUCUGUUGGAGAGGGACGGAAGUAAAGUAGUCGUCGAAUAGACGGCAUGAUGACGGUA